UACGUAGGGUGCAAGCGUUGUCCGGAAUUACUUGGCGUAAGGAGCUCGUAGGUGGUUUGUCGCGUCGUCUGUGAAAUCCCGGGGCUUAACUUCGGGCGUGCAGGCGAUACGGGCAUAACUUGAGUGCUGUAGGGGAGACUGGAAUUCCUGGUGUAGCGGUGAAAUGCGCAGAUAUCAGGAGGAACACCGAUGGCGAAGGCAGGUCUCUGGGCAGUUACUGACGCUGAGGAGCGAAAGCAUGGGUAGCGAACAGGAUUAGA
RNAcentral lists this ribosomal RNA (260 nucleotides) under uncultured prokaryote. RNAcentral describes it as "partial 16S ribosomal RNA". It matches the Rfam family "Bacterial small subunit ribosomal RNA", at positions 524 to 782 of the family's 1533-position model. The record is from RNAcentral.